UCUACGGGAGGCAGCAGUGGGGGAUAUUGCACAAUGGGCGCAAGCCUGAUGCAGCGACGCCGCGUGAGUGAAGAAGUAUUUCGGUAUGUAAAGCUCUAUCAGCAGGGAAGAAAGGCCCUUUAAGGGAAAUGACGGUACCUGACUAAGAAGCCCCGGCUAACUACGUGCCAGCAGCCGCGGUAAUA
RNAcentral lists this ribosomal RNA (185 nucleotides) under uncultured bacterium. RNAcentral describes it as "partial 16S ribosomal RNA". It matches the Rfam family "Bacterial small subunit ribosomal RNA", at positions 338 to 525 of the family's 1533-position model. The record is from RNAcentral.